AGCAGCCGCGGUAAUUCCAGCUCCAAUAGCGUAUAUUAAAGUUGUUGCAGUUAAAAAGCUCGUAGUUGAACUUCAGGCCUGUCCAGAUGGUCCGCCUUAAUUGGUGUGUACUGUCCUUGGGUGGGUCCUACCUUCUGGCGAAGCGGCAUGGCCUUAAUUGGUUGUGUUGGGGAACCAGGACUUUUACUGUGAAAAAAUUAGAGUGUUCAAAGCAGGCAAAUAUGCUCGAAUACAUUAGCAUGGAAUAAUGGAAUAGGACGAUGGUUCUAUUUUGUUGGUUCUAGGACCGUUGUAAUGAUUAAUAGGGAUAGUUGGGGGCAUUAGUAUUCAAUUGUCAGAGGUGAAAUUCUUGGAUUUAUUGAAGACUAACUACUGCGAAAGCAUUUGCCAAGGAUGUUUUCAUUAAUCAAGAACGAAAGUUAGGGGAUCGAAGACGAUCAGAUACCGUCGUAGUCUUAACCAUAAACUAUGCCGACUAGGAAUCGGGCGAUGUUGACAAAAUGACUCGCUCGGCACCUCA
Molecule: unclassified non-coding RNA, 520 nt
Filed under: uncultured Paraglomus
Lineage: Eukaryota; Fungi; Glomeromycota; Glomeromycetes; Paraglomerales; Paraglomeraceae
Also listed under: 1 other name
Description: bacterial SSU rRNA
Rfam family: Eukaryotic small subunit ribosomal RNA
Source: RNAcentral